Molecule: long non-coding RNA, 218 nt
Organism: Zingiber officinale
Lineage: Eukaryota; Viridiplantae; Streptophyta; Magnoliopsida; Zingiberales; Zingiberaceae
Exons: 3
Source: RefSeq, a predicted model, not a curated record
AGACCUGUUUGGGCUUUAGCCAUUCUUAUUGAGGAUGAUCCACAGCUUCGGACAUAACUUCCAGCAGCAAGAUCUGUGUUUGUGAGUUGGCAGGAAGAUACUUAGAGUGAGUGAAGAAUUUCAGCAGCCAACAACCCUUGACGGCAGUAAUUCCAGCCAGCAACUCUUUGAUUCCAGUACAAACCAGUGGCUGUGAAUUUAGGACUUUGAUUCGAGAC